Molecule: ribosomal RNA, 245 nt
Filed under: uncultured bacterium
Lineage: Bacteria
Description: partial 16S ribosomal RNA
Rfam family: Bacterial small subunit ribosomal RNA
Source: RNAcentral
UACGGAGGGUGCAAGCGUUGUUCGGAAUUACUGGGCGUAAAGCGCCUGUAGGUGGUUUAAGAAGUCGGGUGUGAAAACCCCGGGCUCAACCCGGGAACUGCGCCCGAAACCAUUAAGCUUGAGUGCCAAAAGGGUACGUGGAAUUCCAAGUGUAGCAGUGAAAUGCGUAGAUAUUUGGAGGAACACCGGUGGUGCAGACGACGUACUGGGUGGCAACUGACACUGAGAGGCGAAAGCGUGGGUAG